UUGAACGCUGGCGGCAGGCCUAACACAUGCAAGUCGAACGGUAACAGGAAGCAGCUUGCUGCUUCGCUGACGAGUGGCGGACGGGUGAGUACUGUCUGGGAAACUGCCUGAUGGAGGGGGAUAACUACUGGAAACGGUAGCUAAUACCGCAUAACGUCGCAAGACCAAAGAGGGGGACCUUAGGGCCUCUUGCCAUCGGAUGUGCCCAGAUGGGAUUAGCUAGUAGGUGGGGUAACGGCUCACCUAGGCGACGAUCCCUAGCUGGUCUGAGAGGAUGACCAGCCACACUGGAACUGAGACACGGUCCAGACUCCUACGGGAGGCAGCAGUGGGGAAUAUUGCACAAUGGGCGCAAGCCUGAUGCAGCCAUGCCGCGUGUAUGAAGAAGGCCUUCGGGUUGUAAAGUACUUUCAGCGGGGAGGAAGGGAGUAAAGUUAAUACCUUUGCUCAUUGACGUUACCCGCAGAAGAAGCGCCGGCUAACUCCGU
This 488-nucleotide ribosomal RNA is filed under the name uncultured bacterium. RNAcentral describes it as "partial 16S ribosomal RNA". It matches the Rfam family "Bacterial small subunit ribosomal RNA", at positions 30 to 506 of the family's 1533-position model. The record is from RNAcentral.